AUUUGCUUUGCCCAAGCCGGUGUCUCCAAGGCUAAAAAGGACAGCCUGCUGAGGAGAAGCAGUACCAAGAGGUUCUAUCUGUGAUCGAUAAGAAGCUCUUCCAGGGCUGCCGCAGAAUGGAACAACAAAGAGGAGCCGGCCUUUGAUUGUACUAUUUGAGCUGCUGUUUAUGCCUGCUAUAACUAAGGGGAAGAGGUCAAGAGAUGGCUGAGCAUGCAUGAAAGGAAAAAGGGAGUGAGAACAGAGCAAACGUCUUGAUUGACUCAAUUUCUGAAGUGGUCCAUGCAGAUCAAGGCUGAAGAACAAUAAGAAGACAUUAUGGAAGGAAGACUUUCAUGUUGGUACCCACAUGGGUACAUGUUCUCUUGAUAAACAGCAU
Mauremys mutica (yellowpond turtle) is the source of this 379-nucleotide long non-coding RNA. RefSeq lists it as uncharacterized. NCBI's taxonomy places the organism in Eukaryota, Metazoa, Chordata, Testudines, Geoemydidae. The transcript has 3 exons. The record is from RefSeq and is a predicted model, not a curated record.